UAUAUAUAUAUAUAUAUAUAUACUUAGACAUAGUUCAAAAUAAAUAAAAAAUAAGAUCAAAUAUCAUCAUUAAUUUACCAUAGCCUAGCUCUCUUACUAUCAGAAUCCCCACAAAACCCCAGGCAACAUUCAUGUGAACCUCAAGUGCUAUCAAUUCGACUACAACAACCUUUUCUGAUACUAUCACCAAUCGAUAACCCUCAAAUCCAUGCCCUACCUUUACUUGUGCUAAUGUAGUAACUAGUAAGCAAAAUUGUCAAGACAUUUAACACACAGGAUCGCUAACUUCUUUAACAAUACUAUAACCAAACUGAAGAACUCAAACAAAAUAGGAUCAACGAGUAUUAACACCAUUCCAGCUACAUCUACGGCCUCUUUUACUCGCAGCAUGGUUUGAACAUGUCGAACCCAUAGAAUGAUUCAAAUAAAUUAAAAACAGGUGAACGAAAGAGAGAGAUACUGCAACAGAAUUCUUCAGUUUUUCUUCUUCAAAACACCACAUGGGUUGGCCUUUACAUUUUGAGAUAAAAGAGUAAGUUCCUGGAUAUGACACAACAGAAUCAGAAGUUGAUUUAGAGAUUCAGAAGGAGCAGCAACAACAGUACGCAACAGAAGCAGUAAUUCAGCAGAAAUCAACUUGAACCAAUCAAUGAAACAGUGUUUUGAAACAAGAAACCCAGACCCGCCUUUACAAUACUUCAAAUUCGACUUAUUCUAAACCAGAUUUAGCUAUUGAUACCAAAUCAAAAUACCCUCAAAUUCCAGUGAAUCAGAACAUACUUCAGCAAUUAAACCUUCAGGAGUUAUAAGAAAAACAAUUUGAUGGAACAGUACUUAUUUUGAUCUUUUAGCCGUCUGAAGUUUUUCGGAUUUUUAGCUCUCCUUUUUUGAAUGCUCCCUUCUUCUUGCCUUGAAAGGCAAGAAUGAUAUCUUAUAUAUGCUUAGCAAUAGGGAAAAACUUCAGAUUUCAUUUUUCACCCUUUUGCCCCCUUUAAUUCUUGUUUUAGCCUAGGGACCCCUGGAUUCUUAACUUGUUCCCCAAGUUCCAUUACUUAAAAGUCUGAAAUUCCAAUCCCACCCCACCCUAGAAGCUUCUCAGUUUGUUGUGAAAGAUUCCCUAACCCUUGGAUACCUAAACUACCCUCCCAAACCCUGAUAUUUACCCUCAGCUGACCACACUCAAAUAGGUCAGCCCAAACCAAAAUAGAGCUCUAAAGUUGUUGCUGGGAUGGGUUAAACCAAUCAAAGGCCCAAUAUACUACCCUAUUACAAAACUUCCAUAAUUAUGACCCAAAAACUUCACAAAACAAAACCCAAACAACAUAAACUUAUGAACCAGCCAAACUAAAAUAAAAUUAAAUUAAUUUAACACCUAUUAUAGCAUAGUGAAACUCAGAUUAAUCAAAAAUAACUCAAAUAAAGCAUACCAAGUUCAAAGAAAUCUGGUUAUCAAAAGUGCCAAUGAUAAACCUAAAUCGGUGCUAAUCGUUAUACUAACACAACUCGAUCUUAUAAAAACUUUGAGAACACUAAGAGGGAAAGAGAUAAACAAAAGACAAGAAUGAAGGAGGCAGUGGUGAGACAACAAAAGAAACGAGGGAAAAGUGGAAAUAGAAGCGAAAAAUAGGAAGAAGAAAGAAAAACAAUACGAAGAGAAAUACCUAAGUGAAGAAUGAUUCAGGCUACUCGAACCCCGGCUUAUCUGAUUUGAACCAAAAGGGGUGUUAACCGACUGUUCUUGUGGGAGCAGUCGCCUAACACUUGCCUCAAGAUCAAAUUGUCUUCAAAAAUAGGAUGGUAAGAACCCAAACCCUUUGCAUGAUGAGUUCAAGUUUGGAAGACUUAGGGACUUAGGGACUUAUCCUUUUACUACGUCAUUUCAUAGUCUCAAAGGCUAGGGACUUGGACCGGAUUUUUGGCAGUAUUUGGCCG
This 1932-nucleotide long non-coding RNA is filed under the name Nicotiana benthamiana. RNAcentral describes it as "long non-coding RNA (NBEN_LNC020022)". The record is from RNAcentral. Lineage: Eukaryota; Viridiplantae; Streptophyta; Magnoliopsida; Solanales; Solanaceae.